GACGAACGCUGGCGGCGUGCUUAACACAUGCAAGUCGAACGAUGAAGAAAAGAAUCGCAGCUUCGGCAGAAAUUCAUUUCGGAUUAGUGGCAGACGGGUGAGUAACGCGUGAGCAACCUACCUCUUACAAAGGGAUAGCCUCGGGAAACCGGGAUUAAUACCAUAUAACAUUGUGACGAAGCAUUUCGAUGCAAUCAAAGCUACGGCGGUAAGAGAUGGGCUCGCGUCCCAUUAACCGGAUGGUGAGGUAACGGCUCACCAUAGUGACGAUGGGUAACCGGCCUGAGAGGGUGAACGGUCACACUGGGACUGAGACACGGUCCCGACUCCUCGCGGAGGGAGCAGUGGGGAAUAUUGCACGAUGGAGGGAACUCUGAAGCAGCCACGCCGCGGGAGUGAUGAAGGAAUUCAUUUCGUAAAACUCUGUUCUAUGGGAAGAAAAGGACUGUACCAUAGGAGAAAGCUCCGGCUAAAUACGUG
RNAcentral lists this ribosomal RNA (480 nucleotides) under uncultured bacterium. RNAcentral's name for it is "partial 16S ribosomal RNA". It matches the Rfam family "Bacterial small subunit ribosomal RNA", at positions 28 to 507 of the family's 1533-position model. The record is from RNAcentral.